Non-coding RNA from Picea glauca (white spruce), 121 nucleotides. The record is from Rfam. NCBI's taxonomy places the organism in Eukaryota, Viridiplantae, Streptophyta, Pinopsida, Pinales, Pinaceae.
ACAUGCUUACAACAUAGCGUUAAUGCGUCAGAUCCCAUUAGAACUUCAUAGUUAAGCACACUGGGGCUAGAGUAGUACUAGGAUGGGUGACCACCCGAGAAGUCUUAGUGUUUUACAUGCC